AUGUAAGCCAGGGACGCUCCAGUUGACACAUAAUAAAUGUUUUUCUGGAACUGUUUGGUCUACUUGAGUGUGCUUUGAAUUGCUGAUGAUUUUAUGUUUGUAUUGUCAUUUUUGUUGCAGUGGGGAGAGUGUAGUGGUGGAGGAGGCGUAUCUCCGGAGAAAUAAAGCCUCAGAAAUUUUUGUUAAAUUAUACACAAGCUAAAUUACAAAAUCAAUUCUGAGAUUUAUACUUGUUAGAGAAUUUUUUAUAUUUUCUCAAAUAAAUUGCAAAUUUUAUGCAACUUGAUGAGAAAUAUCAGAAUGGCUGUAUUUGCUUUUGAAAAAUAUUAUAUCUAAACACAGUACUGUUUAGCAGUGGAAAUGGUUUUAAUAAUCAUAAUCCAAAAUAUUUUCGCAUUAGAGCCUGGCCCUCAGGAACAGCUCCUGAGUAUCACAUGGUGGAUGAAAUCUUUAUUCAAGCAUUGUACUUCCUAUUCUACACACACUGCAGUUAUUUAUUUUAAUACUUUAUUAUCAUUUUUAUAUGUUGUUUCUAUUAAAACAAUUGUUUAUCUUACUUGCCUUGCACAUUUUACCAUGUAUG
This 583-nucleotide long non-coding RNA is filed under the name Androctonus crassicauda. The record is from RNAcentral. Lineage: Eukaryota; Metazoa; Arthropoda; Arachnida; Scorpiones; Buthidae.